UACGAAGGGGGCUAGCGUUGCUCGGAAUCACUGGGCGUAAAGCGCACGUAGGCGGCUUUUUAAGUCAGGGGUGAAAUCCUGGAGCUCAACUCCAGAACUGCCUUUGAUACUGAGAAGCUUGAGUCCGGGAGAGGUGAGUGGAACUGCGAGUGUAGAGGUGAAAUUCGUAGAUAUUCGCAAGAACACCAGUGGCGAAGGCGGCUCACUGGCCCGGUACUGACGCUGAGAUGCGAAAGCGUGGGGAGCGAACAGG
This 253-nucleotide ribosomal RNA is filed under the name uncultured bacterium. RNAcentral's name for it is "partial 16S ribosomal RNA". It matches the Rfam family "Bacterial small subunit ribosomal RNA", at positions 524 to 776 of the family's 1533-position model. The record is from RNAcentral.